GAUGAACGCUAGCUACAGGCUUAACACAUGCAAGUCGAGGGACGGGCACACGGGGGCGUAACACGUAUCCAACCUGACCCUUACCAUGGGAGAGGCUUUCGAAAGAAAGAUUAAUACCAGAAGAUAAGGAUGGGGAUGCGUUCCAUUCGGUUGUGUGUGAGGUAACGGUAAACCAAGCCUUCGUUGGAUAGGGGUGCUGAGAGUAAGGUCCCCCACAAUGGAACUGCGACACGGUCCAAACUCCUACGGGAGGCAGCAGUGAGGAAUAUUAGUCAAUGGGCGUUAGCCUGAACCAGCCAAGUAGCGUGAAGAAUGAAGGCUUAUGGGUCGUAAAUUUCUUUUAUAUAAGAAGAUGUAUUAUAUGAAUAAGGAUCGGCUAACUCCGUGCCAGCAGCCGCGGUAAUUC
This 406-nucleotide ribosomal RNA is filed under the name uncultured bacterium. Its description in RNAcentral is "partial 16S ribosomal RNA". It matches the Rfam family "Bacterial small subunit ribosomal RNA", at positions 28 to 526 of the family's 1533-position model. The record is from RNAcentral.